This 29-nucleotide non-coding RNA is filed under the name Mus musculus (house mouse). Lineage: Eukaryota; Metazoa; Chordata; Mammalia; Rodentia; Muridae. The record is from RNAcentral.
UGGAACAAGGUGUUGCUUGAAUCGGCCAA